GUAAAGUAAUUUUUUUAUUUUUUAAAAAAAGUUUUAAAUACUAUCAUAUAAGGUGGUAUUUCAAUUCAUUGUUUUGCCAUUAUAAAUAUCAUCCAAUCCCCCUCCCUCUCCACCAAAUCCUAUUUAAUAUAUUUUAUUGACAAAAUCCAAAAUUUCUGAUAAGUUGGAAUUUGAGAGAAUUUAUAUAAAUUACUAAUCCAAUAAACAUGGAUUUCAUAGAGAAUUAAUAAAUGCUAGAUACAAUAAUAGGAGACUUGAAAGAAAAAAAUAUCUUCUCAAAUCUUUGAAAUAAGACUCUUUCGUCAAUUUUAUUAUCUGAAUCAUUGAAAUAUUGUUGUUUUGCUGGAAUGCACUUAAAGCACAUCCAUCCAUCAGAAUCCACCAAAGUUUCUAAAAUAAAAUAAAAAUAUUAAUAUUAUAAUCAUUCAUUUAUUUUUCAUUUUUCUAAAAUCAAAUAAAUCAUUUACUUUUCCUCACAG
RNAcentral lists this long non-coding RNA (479 nucleotides) under Brassica napus (rape). Its description in RNAcentral is "long non-coding RNA (BNAP_LNC022360)". The record is from RNAcentral. Lineage: Eukaryota; Viridiplantae; Streptophyta; Magnoliopsida; Brassicales; Brassicaceae.